CAACGUGAGCAACCUGCCUUUCAGAGGGGGAGUAACAGUUGGAAAUGACUGCUAAUACCGCAUGACAUUAGGGGGAGGGGCAUCCUCUUCUAAUCAAAGGAGCAAUCCGCUGAAAGAUGGGCUCGCGGCCGAUUAGCUGGAUGGCGGGGUAGAGGCCCACCAUGGCGACGAUCGGUAGCCGGACUGAGAGGUUGAACGGCCACAUUGGGACUGAGACACGGCCCAGACUCCUACGGGAGGCAGCAG
This 246-nucleotide ribosomal RNA is filed under the name uncultured bacterium. Its description in RNAcentral is "partial 16S ribosomal RNA". It matches the Rfam family "Bacterial small subunit ribosomal RNA", at positions 113 to 354 of the family's 1533-position model. The record is from RNAcentral.